RNAcentral lists this ribosomal RNA (253 nucleotides) under uncultured bacterium. Its description in RNAcentral is "partial 16S ribosomal RNA". It matches the Rfam family "Bacterial small subunit ribosomal RNA", at positions 524 to 776 of the family's 1533-position model. The record is from RNAcentral.
UACGUAGGGUGCAGGCGUUAAUCGGAAUUACUGGGCGUAAAGCGUGCGCAGGCGGUCUUUUAAGUCAGAUGUGAAAUCCCCGGGCUUAACCUGGGAAUUGCAGUCGAUACUACUUAGCUAGAGUAUGGGAGAGGGCAGUGGAAUUCCCGGUGUAGCGGUGAAAUGCGUAGAUAUCGGGAGGAACAUCAGUGGCGAAGGCGGCUGCCUGGCCAAAUACUGACACUCAGGUGCGACAGCGUGGGGAGCAAACAGG